Molecule: ribosomal RNA, 500 nt
Filed under: uncultured bacterium
Lineage: Bacteria
Description: bacterial SSU rRNA
Rfam family: Bacterial small subunit ribosomal RNA
Source: RNAcentral
GACGAACGCUGGCGGCGUGCCUAAUACAUGCAAGUCGAGCGGAAUGAUGAAGAAGCUUGCUUCUUCUGAUUUUAGCGGCGGACGGGUGAGUAACACGUGGGCAACCUACCUUGUAGAUUGGGAUAACUCCGGGAAACCGGGGCUAAUACCGAAUAAUCCAUUUUGCUUCAUGGCGAGAUGUUGAAAGACGGUUUCGGCUGUCACUACAAGAUGGGCCCGCGGCGCAUUAGCUAGUUGGUAGGGUAAUGGCCUACCAAGGCGACGAUGCGUAACCGACCUGAGAGGGUGAUCGGCCACACUGGGACUGAGACACGGCCCAGACUCCUACGGGAGGCAGCAGUAGGGAAUCUUCCACAAUGGACGAAAGUCUGAUGGAGCAACGCCGCGUGAGUGAAGAAGGUUUUCGGAUCGUAAAACUCUGUUGUAAGGGAAGAACACGUACGAGAGUAACUGCUCGUACCUUGACGGUACCUUAUUAGAAAGCCACGGCUAACUACGUG